AACGAACGCUGGCGCCAGGCCUAACACAUGCAAGUCGAGCGGACCUUUCGGGGUCAGCUGCGGACGGGUGAGUAACGCGUGGGAAUAUGCCCUUCUCUACGGAAUAGUCCUGGGAAACUGGGGGUAAUACCGUAUACGCUCUUUGGGGGAAAGAUUUAUCGGGGAAGGAUUAGCCCGCGUUGGAUUAGGUAGUUGGUGGGGUAAUGGCCUACCAAGCCGUGGAUCCAUAGCUGGUUUGAGAGGAUGAUCAGCCACACUGGGACUGAGACACGGCCCAGACUCCUACGGGAGGCAGCAGAGGGGAAUCUUAGACGAUGGGGGCAGCUCUGAUCUAGCCAUGCCGGGUGAGUGAUGAAGGCCUUAGGGUUGUAAAGCUCUUUCAGCUGGGAAGAUAAUGACGGUACCAGCAGAAGAAGCCCCGGCUAACUACGUG
This 433-nucleotide ribosomal RNA is filed under the name uncultured bacterium. RNAcentral's name for it is "partial 16S ribosomal RNA". It matches the Rfam family "Bacterial small subunit ribosomal RNA", at positions 29 to 507 of the family's 1533-position model. The record is from RNAcentral.